Lotus japonicus is the source of this 2667-nucleotide RNA transcript. It is a transcript of the gene named WAT1-related protein At4g08290-like, with no coding region annotated. The transcript has 9 exons. The record is from RefSeq and is a predicted model, not a curated record. Lineage: Eukaryota; Viridiplantae; Streptophyta; Magnoliopsida; Fabales; Fabaceae.
GCUUCCAAUGAACCUGUGCUCUUAGUUAACAGAGAACUACUGGAAACCCCACCAAGCUCCUUCUCCUUUCCACCUAUCUUCUCAUACAUCCUUGGUCUUCCCUUAGGCCUCAUACAUUUAGGUCACCACCAACUGCGACAGAUGCUCCUUAUGAGUCGCACACCCCCUUAGUUAAGCUUCUUUGGACGACCACACCCUCUUUUAGGAACUCUUACAGAUAACCCUACCCUUAGGAAGAAGCGCCACCUCGCCCUCCCCACCUUGACCCCUGUCCGUCAAAAGGAAAUUUGUUUGAUUGGUACAAUUCUAACUAAAAAUGAAGUGUCGAUUAGGCUAGGGCAUUCUAAUAUUAGAGUACUUAGAUUCAUAUUACAAUACUAGUACUAUGGGAUCAACCACUUAUUGACAUAUGUGUUUAGCAAUUAUUUUUUACCGCCGCCAAAACGCAAAGAGUAAAAAGGUUUUUAGUGAAGAGUUUUAAAUCUCCACAAAAUGAACAUGCUAAUUUUGUGGUAGUCUCUGUAACAUUCUCAAAGUACUAGAAAAUGAUUUUUCUUAUACUCUAUAGAUUAUGGGCAUUAGAAACCGUCACAAUUCGCAUAUAUCGAUCCGGGGUUAAAAAUCCCAAUAUAUACUAUGAAACAUUAAUAUGAUUAUUAUUAUACUACUGCUCUUUAGCUUUUAGCGUGUGUAUAAAAGGAAGGCCAUCCAUCUCAGUCUCAGGUACUCCCUCAAGGUGUGUUCUCAUAACAAACCACAGCAUUAAUAUUUUCUCUCUUCACCACUCUUCUCUCUCUUUGACCAGUCACACUCACCAUGAGUUCCAAAAAUGUGUUUUGCAGAUUAGGCGAGCAACUCAGUGAUGCAAAACCAUACUUGUUAAUGAUUGGGUUGCAAUUUGGCAUGGCUGGAAAUUACAUCUUCGGCAAGGAUAUUCUUAACCAUGGGAUGAGUCGUUUUGUGUUCAUUGUUUAUCGCAAUGCCAUGGCUACCGUUGCCAUAGCUCCUUUUGCAUUUUUUCUCGAAAGGAAAAGUAGGCCCAAGAUGACACUAUCAGUCUUCCUCCAGAUAAUGGUUCUGGGAUUUCUAGAGCCAGUUUUUAAUCAAAGCUUCACUUACUUGGGGAUGAAGUACACCUCCGCAUCAUUCGCAUCUGCUAUCACCAAUGCCGUGCCCUCUAUCACCUUUCUGCUCGCAGUCUUCGUCCGGCUGGAACGUCUCAAAUUGAAGGAGAUUCGGAGUCAAGCCAAAGUGAUUGGAACAUUAGUAACCUUUGGAGGAGCUUUAUUAAUGGCAGUGUACAAAGGUCCUGGGUUCAACCUUUUUCAUUCUGAAAACACAACCCACGAACAAGAUGGAAGCAUCUCCUCUCACAGCCACCAAACUACAGGGGCUCUUUAUAUACUAAUGGGUUGUGUGGCCUUGUCUUCCUUCUACAUUUUGCAGUCAAUAACGGUGAAAAGAUAUCCAGCAGAGCUAUCACUGGCGACGUUGAUUUGCUUGGCGGGAACAGCGGAAGGCACUGCGGUGGCACUUGUGGCUGAGCGUCACCCCCACGCUUGGGCAAUUGGUUGGGACUAUAGGAUCUAUGCUCCACUUUACACGGUUCACUUGCAGGAGUUGUAUUUCAUGCAAAUGGAUAUUAUCAGCAUUCAGCAACUUCAAUGGGGCAUGUUGGGGAAGCUAUUACUUAUGGAUCUGGUUUUUUUUUAAGAUCUGAGCUGAUAUUUUGGAAAGGAGGGAGUAUCUACCUGUUUCCUUUUUAAUAGAUGUUGCUGCACUUUGAAUCAAGGGAUGAAAGUAAUACAUUUUGUUAGUGUGUUUGGUUUUGAGUUUGGGUAUUUUGAACCAAGUAGAAGCAAACAUGCAAAUACAAAUUGGCCUUAAUUAAACAAGCUCUUUCUAGAAAAUAUUACUGUGCCUCAGGUGUGGAUAUUCCAGAGUCAUUAAAAACAUUCAAUUUGAAGAGAGGUCAGGCUGCUCAUAAACGAGGGAAGAAGAAAGUCUUAAAACUGAUCCAGUAGAGAAAAAUUCCAGAUAGCUGCAAAAGAAGGAUGUGAACUUGGAUUCAAAUGGCUUGCAAGGUCAGAGGAGGAAGAGAAGCGGUUACUCACAGAAAUGUAUGGAGAUAAUGGAUACAUUUAUUAGUAGGGUGUAGUAAUGGAUCUUUGUAUCCCUUCACUUAAUCACCUACCAUGAAUCUUAUGUGUUUCAAAAAAACAACGCUGGGUUAGGUGGUCCCCUUCCCUCAAGGACUGCAUUGUGGUUAUUGGUUAAUGUUGAUGGUAGCGUCCAUGGGACGCCGCGUCGAGGUGACAUUGGAGGGUGUCUUCGUAGCAUGGUUGGAGAAUGAAUUGCUAGCUUUUAUGGUUUCUUGGAUGAUUGGACAUCCUGCUCUUGGAGUUACUGGCUAUCUAAUAUCCUUCACUACAACAAAACUGGGUGUUAGCGGCGGUUGUAAGUAGGACCGACGGCUGUUAAAACCGCCGGUAACACAAAAUAUGUGUUCUAUUGUUUCUGGACCUAGCAGCGGUUGAAACCGCCGCCAAAACUCCAGAAAAUUAAUGUUUUUUUUUUCUUCUGUUUUUGGUUUUUUUUUAACCUACUUUCUAAUUUUCUUUACAUAAUAAAUUAAUCAACAAAGGGAAAAUUUUGUGCCAAAGAAAA